RNAcentral lists this ribosomal RNA (3258 nucleotides) under Triticum aestivum (bread wheat). Its description in RNAcentral is "partial small subunit ribosomal RNA". The record is from RNAcentral. Lineage: Eukaryota; Viridiplantae; Streptophyta; Magnoliopsida; Poales; Poaceae.
AUGCUCCUCCAAUUCUCCCCCCAUCCCUCCCCUCUCAUCCUCUCCCUCCCCGUCGCCACUUCCAGAGCCCGCCACCCUCACCCCCGCCUCCCUCCCGUCCGCGCCUCGCCUUCCUCAGAGCCGGAGCUCCUCGCCAAGUCCGCGCUCCGCCGCAUCUCCGACAAGCUCCGCAGCCUCGGAUACCUCGAGACCUCCCCGGAGCCCCCCAUUCCAGCCCCGGCCCCGAGCGCUGACGCCCCGUCCCCCGGGGAGAUUUUCGUGCCCACCCCGGCCCAGCUUCCUCGCCACCGCGUCGGCUCCACGCUAGACCCUAGCUGGGCCACUGGCGACGGCGAGGCAGACGCAGCGCGGCGCAGACAGAGGCGGGGGAGGGAUGCGGCAGCGGCACCGACGCCGCCGUCCGCGGCGGAGCUUACGCUGCCGCGGGACGAGCUGCGGCGGCUGCAGGGGGUCGGCAUCCGGCUGCGUAAGAGGCUCAAGGUGGGGAAGCCCGGCGUCACAGAGGGGAUCGUGAACGGGAUACACGAGCGAUGGCGCAACGCGGAGCUCGUGAAGAUCAGGUGCGAUGACAUCUCCGCCAUGAACAUGAGGCGCACCCACGAGGUCCUCGAGAGGAAAACUGGAGGCUUGGUUAUUUGGAGAUCUGGAAGCACCAUCAUAUUGUAUAGAGGAACCAACUAUAAAUAUCCUUACUUCCAUGACCAGCAAAAGAUUGAUGAUUGUCUCAAGGAUGAAUCAUCAGAGCAGAGCAGUUCUGAUGAUGAUGAUGAAGAUCUUGGUUUUUUAUCUGUGGAACAAUGUAGUAGUGAAGUGGAUGGUAAGAAUCAUACAGAAGAUAGUAUUCAUUAUGAAGAUGAGGCUGUCGAAAAUGUUGCCAUAGUAUAUGGAGAACAGACGAGUAUAGGAGAGGAACAUGAGAAUCAUGACAUAUUAUCUGUGGGGCAGAGCGUGGCCAGAAAGGAAGAUGCAAAUUAUCCCAUGAUAUCCUCUAAAGUGCCUGUUGUUGAUACACAGGAGGGUAGAUCAGCAGUGAAAAUUAAUAGUGGAGCUGCAAACAAACAGCAUGCAAGAUUUCAUAUAGGCACUAAUGUAAAUCCUCCUAGUGUGGUCAGACCUUUAGCUAGGUCUACCUUAGUUACCGGUGUUGGUUCUCCAAAUAAGUUCCGAUUACAGUUGCCCGGGGAGGUCAAGCUUGCGAAGGACGAUGACAAAUUAUUAGAUGGGCUGGGUCCACGGUUUUCUGAAUGGUGGGGGUAUGAUCCCCUUCCAGUGGAUGCUGAUUUGUUGCCAGCUAUCGUUCCUGGAUUCCGUAGGCCUUUCCGUCUUCUUCCUUCAGGUGUCCCACCCAAGCUAACAGAUAGAGAAAUGACUAUCCUUAGGAGGCUAGCUCGUCCUUUGCCCUACCACUAUGCACUUGGAAGAAGCAGUAACCUUCAAGGAUUGGCUGCAUCCAUGAUCAAGUUAUGGGAAAGGUGUGAGGUGGCGAAGAUUGCGAUGAAGAGAGGUCCAUACUGCAUUGAUAGUGAGCUCGUCUCUGAGGAAUUAAAGGACUUGACUGGUGGGACCCUUUUAUCAAGGGACAAUGAGUCAAUUGUACUAUACAGAGGAAAAGAUUUCCUACCCCCAGCUGUCUCUCUUGCAAUAGAAAAACGCAGAAAGCACGACAAUUCCAUGAUCAACAAGCCCAAGCCUGAAAUUGAAGAAAGCAUACCUACUCAAGAUGCUUCUGAACUGGAGAUGGCAAACGAUGCCUCCGUACACGGGCAUGAAUGUCAUGAAGAAAAACAUGAAGGUGAAACUUCUGUUAUAGAAUAUAGAACUGAAUCUCUAAAUACAGUUGCCCAGAACAUGGAAACCAGAUUAUCUCAGGCUAUAGCAGAGAAAAAGAAGGCUGAAAAACUUCUUGAGGAGCUAGAAAAGGCAUCUCGGCCUUCAAAAGCUGAAACAAGAGAGACAAUCUCAGAAGAGGAGAGGUACAUGUUGAGGAAAGUUGGUUUGCAGAUGAAGCCAUUUCUGCUGCUAGGAAGGAGAGGAGUUUUUGAUGGAACAAUUGAAAAUAUGCACCUUCAUUGGAAGUAUCGAGAACUUGUCAAGAUUAUAUGUAAAGAACACAGCACGGAAGAUGUUACAUAUGCUGCUCGAACACUAGAAGCUGAGAGUGGUGGUAUUUUGGUGGCAGUGGAGAGAGUGAGCAAAGGACAUGCAAUUAUAAUGUAUCGAGGGAAGAACUACCAGAGGCCGUCAGCUCUGAGGCCAAAAUCUUUGUUGAAUAAAAAAGAUGCUCUGAAGCGUUCUGUAGAGCUUCAGCGCCACAAGUCCUUGAAGCUUCACGUGCUUAAUCUAUCAAAGAACAUCGACUACUUGAGGGGCCAGAUGCAAAUGGAGGGUCAUCCAGUGGCUUUGUCUGAUCAGAUGAACCCAGGCCAUGAAAACAAAGGCAUGCAUGAUCUCUGUGACAACUCUGGAACAUUAGGGGAGACAAGCAAAGAAGUGCCUGAAGUUGCUCCUGAGUGUUUUGAGCCAGAGGGCGAAGAGUGCAGUUCAGGUGGAACAAAUAGAACCUUGAAUACAACCAGGUCUGGAGUUCCUUUAGAUGAUACACAGAAGAAGUUAUGUUUGAACGAGCUUAAAGAUGAUUCCUCUGAGGCUUCGAGGCCAUGCCUGAAUGGGAGUUCAAGUACAGCUUCAUCAGAUAAUCUGAUCGAAUAUCAAAAUACGCUGAGCUUUCCUGUAGCAUGCCAUUCAGACAGUGGUAGUGAAGAGGAUUCCAAAGUCUUCAAAACCCUUAGCCCUUCCCAGGCACUGGAUGAGCUAAUAUUGGACCAGAAACAUACUCCUCACUUGCCUUCCAAAGCUACACCUCUAUCAAAUCGGGAGAGACUUGUGCUAAGGAAGCAAGCUCUGCAAAUGAAGAAACGGCCAGUACUUGCCAUUGGGAGGAAUAAUGUCAUCACCGGAGUAGCAAAAACAAUACGGACGCACUUCAAAAAGCAUCCUCUUGCUAUUGUGAAUAUCAAGAACCGAGCAGAUGGAACUCCAGUUCAACAGCUGAUAUCAGAACUAGAGGAGGCGACAGGAUCGGUUCUCGUGUCGCGAGAACCAAACAAAGUGAUUUUGUACAGAGGCUGGGGAGCGGACGUGACCCAGACAAGUUCCAGGGAAGAUAGAACAAAUGAGGGGGAAAAGGAGGUGAUAUCACCACAGCUCCUUGAAGCCAUUAGAUUAGAAUGUGGACUGCACCCAGGUGAAUCACAAUAG